This 253-nucleotide unclassified non-coding RNA is filed under the name uncultured Caryophanales bacterium. RNAcentral's name for it is "uncultured Bacillales bacterium contains 16S-23S intergenic spacer region". It matches the Rfam family "Bacterial small subunit ribosomal RNA", at positions 524 to 776 of the family's 1533-position model. The record is from RNAcentral. Lineage: Bacteria; Bacillati; Bacillota; Bacilli; Caryophanales.
UACAUAAAAAACAAGCGUUGUCCGGAAUUAUUGGGCGUAAAGCGCGCGCAGGCGGUCCUUUAAGUCUGAUGUGGAAUCUUGCGGCUUAACCGCAAGCGGUCAUUGGAAACUGGGGGACUUGAGUACAGAAGAGGAGAGCGGAAUUCCACGUGUAGCGGUGAAAUGCGUAGAUAUGUGGAGGAACACCAGUGGCGAAGGCGGCUCUCUGGUCUGUAACUGACGCUGAGGCGCGAAAGCGUGGAGAGCAAACAGG